Molecule: long non-coding RNA, 4164 nt
Filed under: Homo sapiens (human)
Lineage: Eukaryota; Metazoa; Chordata; Mammalia; Primates; Hominidae
Description: non-protein coding lnc-KHDRBS3-4:20
Source: RNAcentral
AUGCGUUACUGAGCAUGUCCGGUGCCCGAAGGGGCGCUUUGGACGCCAGUGAAGCGAGGAGAGGCGGAGAAGGAACCGAGCGGGCAGUUGAGGGAAAUCUCGGAGGAGGUUACCUGCGAUCAAACUGGGGCUGCGUAGUGUUAGGGUCAGGCAGCUUUGAAGUGGAAUCCGGAUCCGCCACUCUCGCUGCGUGAUAUUGGGCAUGCCAUCAAAGCGCUCUCAACCGAACGUCUCGGGUAAAAUGGGAUUAGUGAAGUCUACCAAGGAAUUUUCUGGGAAGUUAAGAAUUUCCAAUAAAUCUUGGACUACUCUAAAAUGCACCAGAAAUUACGUGGUCACACUCGUGCAGUGAAAGAAGGCUUUGGCAGUAGCAUAAGACAUUAAGCAGAAGUAGGAAAUGCAGUGAGGAAGAAGUUGUAAUGUUUUCAACAGCUGCCACUAUGGAUCUAGGAUGAGAGCUUUCCACAUGUUGUUAAGAAUGAGAGACAGAUUACUCCAAGGUAGUAACUCCGGAACAAUGAAGGAGGAAGAAUGAAUGAGUUGCGCCCUGAAGAUGGUGGGCUCUCCUUUAUGCAUGAUCAUCACGAUCUCUCUGCAAUGUCUGUCCUGUGACCUCGUGAGGUGUGCAGCGUCAUGCCAGACAUCUGUGUUUGGAUGGCCCUCUGGCUCCUCCACAAUUACUGCAGAGUCAGAAGUGGAAUUUCCGCCUGAUGUUUUAUGUCAAAAUCAGUAUGAAAGACUGCAGCAUGCUGAGUGAGCUUUCCGUUCUCGCUGAGAUGCAAUGCAGGGUCCACCCUCUGCAGGCCACAAUUUUGCCUGGAGGCAAAGCAUUCAGUCUUUCCAUUGGCCUGACAAUUUGAGCCAAGCUUUGAGGCCAACAGACAAAAUGCACUAGCAACUGGAGAGGGCCUGCCUGGUGGCCCUCCCUGUGAGAAGGUAUUCUUCCUGCUCCAUUGACAUCAGGCUUAUUAGCCAUGUUUCUGGAUUUGGUCCAUUUCAUCAUAAAGAGAACAUGGAGCAGGGCUGCAGCUGAUCUUCAAAGGGCAUGAACACAAGCCAGAGAGAAGCCGUUAUUGUUGUAAGCCCUGAAGAUUUGGGGGAUAUUAUUGCAACACAACUCAGCCCAAGCUGACUAAUACAACAAGUUUCUAUGUAUACAUGGAAAUGUAUGUAAUCUUAGCCUCAAAAAAAAAAAAAAGAAAAAAAGAGUAUCUGAAAAUCCCAGGAUACUCGGGGCUCAUGGUGCGUAGUCAAUGAAAUGAUUAGCUCUCUUUCUUCAUCCUUCCCUCUCCAAUCUUUUCUUUUCAUUCUCCUUCAUCUCAUUCUCCUUCUCUCUGUGAUUUACAAAGCUGGUCAUGGAAAAAAAAACAUAGGAGUCAGAAGGCUUCGAUUCUAGGUUCAUAUGUAUGAGAUUUUUUGGAAAAAACUCAUACUCUCAAGGAGUCUCAGUUUCCUCAUCUUCAAGUGGGGAUAAUAACACCCUCUUUACCUAUUCUGCUGGGUUCUUUUGUAGAUCACAUGAAAGAGAGGUUAUGGAAAUCCUUUAUAUAUGUUUUGAAAAUUCUAUCCAGUUGCUGUGGCCUGAAUGUUUGUGUUCUUCAAAAUUUAUAUGUUGAAACCUAAUCACUGAUGUGAUGGUGUUUGAAGGUAAGGCUGUUAGAAGGUGAUUGGCACAAACCCCUCAUAAGAGAAGCCCCAAAGAGAGCUAGCUUGCCUGUUUCACCAUGUGAGGACAUGGUGAGAAGAAGCCAUGUAAGAAUCAGGAAACAGGUCCUCACCAGGCAUGGAAUAUGUCAGCACCUUGAUCUCGGACUUACCAGCCUCCAAACUAGUGACAAAUAAAUUACUAUUCACUAGCUGCCCAAUUAAUGGUAUUUUAUUAUGAUAGACUGAACUGACUAGGACACUAGUUAUAUGAUGAAAAUACCCUACUACUAUUACUACUGCUAGUACUUCCUGUAUUUGCUCAUAUUUUUGGAGGUCUUAUUAUGUUCCAAGUAUGGUUCUAAGUGCUUUUCAUCAGUAACUCUUGUAAGAGCCUAUUUUUAAUUCAGCAAAGGCAACAAAAUACUUUCCCUGGUUUAGUGAGGAGUAUUAACUAAUUGGGGGUAUAAACAUAACAUGGUUUCGUUUUUUCAAUAGUUGCUACUACUCUUGUUCUCCAUAGCAACUUUGGUUUCAAUUCCAUAACUUUCCUGUUGUUUCUGGUCAAAGGAACAGUUGCCUCUAGUUCCUCUGUCUAUUUUAAUAUUUUGACCCUCUCCAUUCCUGUCAGGACAGGUGGAACUCGUGGCAUAGGAAGUUCAAGUGGCAGAGGGGGCCCAGUCUGUACUUGUCUCUACUCCCCCAGAGGAGGAAAGAAAGCAAGACAGAUGCUCCCUCACGUGGAUGUCCAUGGUAUAGUUGCUGUCCUCCCCUUGGGUGGCCAUGACUGCUAUUCCUGUCCACUGAGCUUCAUGAGGGUUGGGGUGCCUCCCUCACCAGGAUCAGACUCUGGGGUCCCCCAGCAGGAGGUACCGUGUGUAUUCCUCUGUGGGCCUUGUAUGGUCCUCCUUCCCCUUCUGCUGCGUGGGUCCCUAGGGAUGCCAUUGCUCCAAAAAUACUUGCUUUCCCAAGCUCUUCAACUCCAGGGCUCAAAAUCCCCUGGGGAUCCCCUUCCUGUAGGUCUUGAGAAUUGCAACUUGGGGGCAGUCCUGACCUGGUCAUCAUCCUCCUCACCACCUCACUGUGCCAUCUCCUCACCUCAUUCUCUAACCCCCAAAAGAUGACCACUGAUGACCAGUCUCCAGGUCAGUGGAGAACGUGUGUGGAGAAGUGCAGGAGGGGUGACAAAGCAUCCCCAAACCUUACAAGUUAUUUCCUUGAUUUUGGAGAAGAAAUCCACUGGGUAGUGCCCACCACCCCCUCACACAGCUCCAGCUAGAAGUAACGAUUUACUCCCUCCCUACACUCCUCUUAUUUUGUCUUUGAGGGUGGGGGUGCUGGUUUUGCUGAAAUGACUCUGCUCAGUCAGGCUUUUGAGAGUGGGAGGGCAGGGGGCAAAGGCAGAAAGGGAAGCAACCAGGCCUUUCUCUGCCUGUUCUCUGAACUCAGAGCAUGGGGUACUAAGGACCUGGGUUCUCUGCUGUGGGCCCAAAGAGGAAACAACAAGAUCCACUUGGUACCUAAUACCCUGUCACACAGAGGUACAACAUCUCCAGCUUGAGGUGGUGUCCUGUGAGUGAUAGCAGCUCCAGGAUGGUGCAUUUACCACUGAGGAAAAGUAGAAUGAGCCCCAGCGUUGGGGGAGCGAUCUGGGAACUGCCCUCCUAUUUGCUCCCACAAUAUCCUGCAGGUUCUAUGAUACAGGUAGUUAGAGCUACUCACUAGGCUGCCUGUCUUCCCCUCCACUGCAGGACAUGCCUGUAUUUUGUCCUCAUCUGUUGCUGUAGUUUGGAUGUGUUAUUUUUUUUUCCUUUGCAUGAGUUUCCAUGCAGAACACAUGUUGGAAUUUAACUGCCAAUGUAAUGGGUGUUGGGAGGUGGGGCCUUUAUCCAAACUUUAAUUAGGUCAUUAAGAUGAUUAGUGUCCUUCUCUGGAGAGACUGGAUUAGGUCUCUUGGGAAUGAAUUAGUUCUCGUGAAAGCUGGUUGUUAUAAAGUGAGGCUGCCUCUCGUGUUUGGUGUCUUUGUACGCUUCUGCUUCCCCUUCCUUCUGCUUUCCACCGGGAGUCAAAGCAGCACCAAGUCCUCACCAGAUGGGCUGCUGGAUCUUGUACUUCCCAGCCUGCAUGACUGUAAGCUCCAUAAACCUCUUUUUAUUCCUUGUAAAUUACCCGGUCUUAGGUAUUCAACAGAAUUGAAUUGCUUAGGUAGCAACACAAAACAGAUGAAGACAUCUGUAUUCCCAGGACCUGGGACAGCACCUGGUAUAUGCAACCUACUCAGCAAAUGUUCUCUAGAAUCUUUAGAGAUUUGGGAAUAUGAAGGAAAAAAAAACUAGAAAAAUGGGGUGGCAGAUAUAUUCCAGAUAAAAAAUAUUUCAGGUGAAUUCUACAAAUCAGGGUGGGUUUCAGACAACUGUGAAUCAUGAGUAUACUUGUUGGGGGAAAAAUUCACAUAGCAAAGACAGCUACUUCUUGCGGUACCCACUGAGGGACUGGGGCAAGGGCAAUGAGAGGCAUAAG